RNAcentral lists this ribosomal RNA (819 nucleotides) under uncultured eukaryote. RNAcentral describes it as "SSU rRNA". It matches the Rfam family "Eukaryotic small subunit ribosomal RNA", at positions 629 to 1426 of the family's 1831-position model. The record is from RNAcentral.
CGGUGUUUAACUGGCGUGAUGUGGGACGUCCUACCGGUGGGCUUAGCCUCGCGAGGGGCGGCCCAACUAAUAUCCCGUCGCGGUGCUCUUUACUGAGUGUCGAGUCGGGCCGGUACGUUUACUUUGAACAAAUUAGAGUGCUUAAAGCAGGCUAUCCUCGCCUGAAUACUGCGUGCAUGGAAUAAUGGAAUAGGACCUCGGUUCUAUUUUGUUGGUUUUCGGAACCCCGAGGUAAUGAUUAAUAGGGACAGAUGGGGGCAUUCGUAUUGCGACGUUAGAGGUGAAAUUCUUGGAUCGUCGCAAGACGGACAGAAGCGAAAGCAUUUGCCAAAAAUGUUUUCAUUAAUCAAGAACGAAAGUUAGAGGUUCGAAGGCGAUCAGAUACCGCCCUAGUUCUAACCAUAAACGAUGCCAGCUAGCGAUCCGCCGAAGUUCCUCCGAUGACUCGGCGGGCAGCUUCCGGGAAACCAAAGCUUUUGGGUUCCGGGGGAAGUAUGGUUGCAAAGCUGAAACUUAAAGGAAUUGACGGAAGGGCACCACCAGGAGUGGAGCCUGCGGCUUAAUUUGACUCAACACGGGAAACCUCACCAGGCCCAGACACCGGAAGGAUUGACAGAUUGAUAGCUCUUUCUCGAUUCGGUGGGUGGUGGUGCAUGGCCGUUCUUAGUUGGUGGAGCGAUUUGUCUGGUUAAUUCCGAUAACGAACGAGACUCUAGCCUGCUAAAUAGGCGUACCUUAUGGUAUCGCGAAGGCCCCCGGCUUCGGCCGGUGGGUUUUUACUACCAACGUACAAACAAAUCUUCUUAGAGGGACAGGCGG